UACGUAGGGUGCGAGCGUUGUCCGGAAUUAUUGGGCGUAAAGAGCUCGUAGGCGGCUUGUCACGUCGGGUGUGAAAGCCCGGGGCUUAACCCCGGGUCUGCAUUCGAUACGGGCAGGCUAGAGUGUGGUAGGGGAGAUCGGAAUUCCUGGUGUAGCGGUGAAAUGCGCAGAUAUCAGGAGGAACACCGGUGGCGAAGGCGGAUCUCUGGGCCGAUACUGACGCUGAGGAGCGAAAGCGUGGGGAGCGAACAGG
This 253-nucleotide ribosomal RNA is filed under the name uncultured bacterium. RNAcentral describes it as "partial 16S ribosomal RNA". It matches the Rfam family "Bacterial small subunit ribosomal RNA", at positions 524 to 776 of the family's 1533-position model. The record is from RNAcentral.